AACAGGUGGGGAUAGUGUGGAACAGGUGGGGACAGUGGGGAACAGGUGGGGAUAGUGUGGAAGAGGUGGAGCCAGCGGGGAACAGGAGGGGAAGAGGUGGAGCCAGUGGGGAACAGGUGGGGACAGUGGGGAACAGGUGGGGACAGUGGGGAACAGGUGGGGACAGUGGGGAACAGGUGGAGACAGUGGGGAACAGGUGGGGCCAGCGGGGAACAGGAGGGGAAGAGGUGGAGCCAGCGGGGAACAGGUGGGGACAGUGGGGAACAGGAGGGGACAUUGGGGAACAGGUGGGGACAGUGGGGAACAGGUGGGGAAGAGGUGGAGCCAGCAGGGAAGAGGUGGGGACAGUGGGGAACAGGUGGGGACAGUGGGGAACAGGUGGGGGCAGUGGGGAACAGGUGGGGACAGUGGGGAACAGGUGGGGACAGUGGGGAACAGGUGGGGACAGUGGGGAACAGGUGGGGACAGUGGGGAACAGGUGGGGACAGUGGAGAACAGGUGGGGGCAGAAAAUAACAGGUGGGGACAGUGGAGAACAGGUGGGGGCAGAAAAGAACAGAUGGGGAACAGGUGGGGGCAGUGGAGAACAGGUGGGCAGAAAAUAACAGGUGGGGAACAGGUGGGGAUAGUGGAGUACAGGUGGGGACAGUGGAGAACAGGUGGGGACAGUGGAGAACAGGUGGGGACAGUGAAGAACAGGUGGGGGCUAGUGGUUAGGAAGCAUGGGGGGACACGGAAACAGAGACAGAGUGUGUAGUGAGAGACAUAAAUAGAGACAGACAGACAAUGCUCUCUAA
Molecule: long non-coding RNA, 796 nt
Organism: Oncorhynchus tshawytscha (Chinook salmon)
Lineage: Eukaryota; Metazoa; Chordata; Actinopteri; Salmoniformes; Salmonidae
Source: Ensembl